AUUGAACGCUGGCGGAAUGCUUUACACAUGCAAGUCGAACGAUGAACCUUAGCUUGCUAAGGGGAUUAGUGGCGAACGGGUGAGUAAUAUAUCGGAACGUGCCUUGUAAUGGGGGAUAACUAGUCGAAAGAUUAGCUAAUACCGCAUACGCCCUGAGGGGGAAAGUAGGGGAUGUUCGGACCUUACGUUAUAAGAGCGGCCGAUAUCUGAUUAGCUAGUUGGUGGGGUAAUGGCCUACCAAGGCGACGAUCAGUAGCUGGUCUGAGAGGACGACCAGCCACACUGGAACUGAGACACGGUCCAGACUCCUACGGGAGGCAGCAGUGGGGAAUUUUGGACAAUGGGCGCAAGCCUGAUCCAGCCAUUCCGCGUGAGUGAAGAAGGCCUUCGGGUUGUAAAGCUCUUUCGCAAGGGAAGAAAACUUACCAUCGAAUAAAUGGUGAGGCUGACGGUACCUUGAUAAGAAGCACCGGCUAACUACGUG
RNAcentral lists this ribosomal RNA (484 nucleotides) under uncultured bacterium. Its description in RNAcentral is "partial 16S ribosomal RNA". It matches the Rfam family "Bacterial small subunit ribosomal RNA", at positions 30 to 507 of the family's 1533-position model. The record is from RNAcentral.